Frankliniella occidentalis (western flower thrips) is the source of this 597-nucleotide long non-coding RNA. RefSeq lists it as uncharacterized. The transcript is spliced from 3 exons. NCBI's taxonomy places the organism in Eukaryota, Metazoa, Arthropoda, Insecta, Thysanoptera, Thripidae. The record is from RefSeq and is a predicted model, not a curated record.
GUGACAGCUGGAGUUAUAGGGGCCAGGCCAGCCCGCGGCGCACCGGGAGACCAUUCCGCGCCGCGAUGUGGGAACCCUGUUUCGACCCGAGUUUCAACGACGUCAUCAUACGAGAUAUCUUAGCGCAGGAAGGAGUAAAACGGCUUUCGGAGCUUUCCUGGACUCACAAAUUUUCACCCGAAGGUGCUUAGCCAACUGGUGAGCUCCUUUGGCGGCGCGUGCAACUCGCGCGUCUCUCACGCCCCGUGGCCCGGCCCAGCCCGCGCCACGCACCGCAGCGCCACAGCGAGGAGAGAAGAAUUCCAUCCAGCCUCAAUUGUUGGAACGAAUAACGUGGUUGUAACUAUCAUGUGUGAGUCUUGUGGUGCAGAGUUUGUUCCACCAAACCCGAGUGGCGAGAAGUUUGCAGCGGGCAGCUUGCCUAACCAUCGAUUAAGCCGCUCAGCCAGACGCGCACGGGUACAGAGAAGAAAACUAAAAUACGCAUCUCUGAACGAAAUAAUUGAAGCAAAGCAGUUGGGUCGGCCUGAUUAAUAAUCAAGAGUAUAACUACUGACAAGCACAAUGGAAGUGUUGGUCACCACGGAGUAAAGAAUU